This 468-nucleotide ribosomal RNA is filed under the name uncultured bacterium. RNAcentral's name for it is "partial 16S ribosomal RNA". It matches the Rfam family "Bacterial small subunit ribosomal RNA", at positions 28 to 507 of the family's 1533-position model. The record is from RNAcentral.
GACGAACGCUGGCGGCGUGCUUAACACAUGCAAGUCGAACGGAAAGGCCCUGCUUUUGUGGGAUGCUCGAGUGGCGAACGGGUGAGUAACACGUGAGUAACCUGCCCUUGACUUUGGGAUAACUUCAGGAAACUGGGUCUUAUACCGGAUAGGACCUCCUGCUGCAUGGUGGGGGUUGGAAAUUUUCGGCGGUUGGGGAUGGACUCGCGGCUUAUCAGGUUGUUGGGGGGUUAGUGGCUUACCAAGGCGUUGACGGGUAGCCGGCCUGAGAGGGUGACCGGCCACAUUGGGACUGAGAUACGGCCAAGACUCCUACGGGAGGCAGCAGUGGGGAAUAUUGAACAAUGGGCGGAGGCCUGAUGCAGCAACGCCGCGUGCGGGAUGACGGCCUUCGGGUGGUAAACCGCUUUCGCCUGGGACGAAGCGUGAGUGACGGUAAUGGGUAAAGAAGCACCGGCUAACUACGUG